Pipra filicauda (Wire-tailed manakin) is the source of this 819-nucleotide long non-coding RNA. RefSeq lists it as uncharacterized. The record is from RefSeq and is a predicted model, not a curated record. The transcript has 2 exons. Lineage: Eukaryota; Metazoa; Chordata; Aves; Passeriformes; Pipridae.
AUUUGGCAGUGGGGUUGGAGCUAGAUGACCUUUAAUGUCCCUUCCAACCCAAACCAUUCUAUGAUUCUAUGACAUCCACAGGUGCAACACCACCAAGGAGAGAGGAAAAGACCUCCAGGGGAAUAUAUUUGUAGGAACCUCCCUUACUGCUCACAGACACCCAGCACUUGCCAAUAAGAGACACAGUGAGUGUGAAGUUACCGGCUCUGCACCAAGGGCUCACAGGAGCUGGCAGAGCACAAAUUCACAGUUAUCAGAGAUGAUCAGAGUGCCUACAAGGAUGCUACCAGGAGCAUGUAGGGCUAAUGAGGACAUUGUGUACAUAGAGGAAGCGACAAUUAUGUGGAGUCGUGACGAACAGCCCAGAAACAUCACAGUUGUUCACGCACCUGAAAACAAGAGGAGCUUGUUAUCACAGUCAGGGACCUGGAUCCCAAGACACAAGAGAGAUUUAAAACUGUUCGGCACAGAGUGGAGCUUCAAAAUCAACAGUGUCUGUGUCUGAUACAAGACGAAGAGCAGAGCUCAGGACCUCCUGUACAAGGCAAUUUUGUUGUCAUCAUGGCAUACAUGGGGGCAUUAUACCAAAUUUGUGUUUGGCUCAUCACAAAGCUCACUCUGUGUGAGUCUCAAAAUCCUGUGCUGCUUUCAGCCUGGCUGCCAGAGUGGCCGUGGGUUGGUUCAGCCCUGCAAGGACAUGGGUCAAGUUCAGUCUGCUGCAAAGAAAGAGGCCUUCAUGAGGUUGCGUUUUUCAGCUUCCUUCCCCAUUUGUAUUGUUUUCUGUUUCAAUAAAUCAUGGAGUGCCGGUGAAAUCCCCAA